Molecule: transfer RNA, 72 nt
Filed under: Astrapogon stellatus (conchfish)
Lineage: Eukaryota; Metazoa; Chordata; Actinopteri; Kurtiformes; Apogonidae
Description: tRNA-Trp
Rfam family: tRNA
About the family: Transfer RNA (tRNA) molecules are approximately 80 nucleotides in length.
Source: RNAcentral
CGGGGCUUAGGUUAAAGAAAAGACCAAGAGCCUUCAAAGCCCUAAGCGGGGGUUAAAAUCCCCCAGCCCCUG